Coffea arabica (coffee) is the source of this 511-nucleotide long non-coding RNA. RefSeq lists it as uncharacterized. NCBI's taxonomy places the organism in Eukaryota, Viridiplantae, Streptophyta, Magnoliopsida, Gentianales, Rubiaceae. The record is from RefSeq and is a predicted model, not a curated record.
AUCCAUGCCUAUAAAACGUAAGCCAAAAUUUGUAAAUUCAUAGGCCUAAAUCAGUUAGCUACAUAACUUUGAAGCAGCAGAUAAAUCUUAAGAAGACAAAAUGCUCGGAAAAGCAGUGCCCUUAGGUGUGGUCUUCACCCUAUUGUGGGUUAUCGUUCUCUUACUUUCCUUUCAGACACCAGUCGCACGUCGGCUCGUUGCUACUCAAAUGGAAUGCCAUAGGGGAGGAGUAGACCCAGGCUGCUCUCCUCGCAGUCCACAUGGAUCACCUCCAUAGGGUUGUUGGCUAAUUAGCAUCUCCAAGAUCUCGUCCUCACACCUAGUGGUUUUCGACCUGGUUCUGCAGCAAUUUGCUGUACACUUGUAUUCACUGUAUUCUGGAUACAUUUAGAGUCUAAGAAUUGUAUAUUCAGAUGAAUGACAUGUUAACCUUUCUUCUUGUAUCAAGUUCGUUAAUCAGUGUCAUAAUUUAGAUGCUACUACGGUAAGAAAAAUUUCCCCAUCAAGCUGC